Molecule: non-coding RNA, 29 nt
Filed under: Mus musculus (house mouse)
Lineage: Eukaryota; Metazoa; Chordata; Mammalia; Rodentia; Muridae
Also listed under: 1 other name
Source: RNAcentral
UUUCUGUUUUCAGGGUGAUGUCAAGAUGU